This 481-nucleotide ribosomal RNA is filed under the name uncultured bacterium. RNAcentral's name for it is "bacterial SSU rRNA". It matches the Rfam family "Bacterial small subunit ribosomal RNA", at positions 501 to 985 of the family's 1533-position model. The record is from RNAcentral.
CUACGUGCCAGCAGCCGCGGUAAUACGGAAGGUCCGGGCGUUAUCCGGAUUUAUUGGGUUUAAAGGGAGCGUAGGCCGGGGAUUAAGUGUGUUGUGAAAUGUAGGCGCCCAACGUCUGACUUGCAGCGCAUACUGGUUCCCUUGAGUACGCGCAACGCCGGCGGAAUUCGUCGUGUAGCGGUGAAAUGCUUAGAUAUGACGAAGAACCCCGAUUGCGAAGGCAGCCGGCGGGAGCGCAACUGACGCUGAAGCUCGAAGGUGCGGGUAUCGAACAGGAUUAGAUACCCUGGUAGUCCGCACGGUAAACGAUGGAUGCCCGCUGUCGGCGCCUUGCGCCGGCGGCCAAGCGAAAGCGUUAAGCAUCCCACCUGGGGAGUACGCCGACAACGGUGAAACUCAAAGGAAUUGACGGGGGCCCGCACAAGCGGAGGAACAUGUGGUUUAAUUCGAUGAUACGCGAGGAACCUUACCCGGGCUUGAA